Molecule: transfer RNA, 68 nt
Filed under: Myotis davidii
Lineage: Eukaryota; Metazoa; Chordata; Mammalia; Chiroptera; Vespertilionidae
Rfam family: tRNA
About the family: Transfer RNA (tRNA) molecules are approximately 80 nucleotides in length. Their secondary structure includes four short double-helical elements and three loops (D, anti-codon, and T loops).
Source: Rfam by way of RNAcentral
GGCUAGGUAGCUCAGUUGGUUAGGGCAUUGACUUGACAAGCCAAGGAUGCCAGCUCAAGCCCAAGUCA